UUAAGUUAGAAAGGGCGCACGGUGGAUGCCUUGGCACUAGGAGCCGAUGAAGGACGGGACGAACACCGAUAUGCUUCGGGGAGCUGUAAGCAAGCUUUGAUCCGGAGAUUUCCGAAUGGGGAAACCCACCACUCGUAAUGGAGUGGUAUCCAUAUCUGAAUACAUAGGAUAUGAGAAGGCAGACCCGGGGAACUGAAACAUCUAAGUACCCGGAGGAAGAGAAAGCAAAUGCGAUUCCCUGAGUAGCGGCGAGCGAAACGGGACCAGCCCAAACCAAGAGGCUUGCCUCUUGGGGUUGUAGGACACUCUGUACGGAGUUACAAAGGAACGAGGUAGAUGAAGAGGUCUGGAAAGGCCCGCCAUAGGAGGUAACAGCCCUGUAGUCAAAACUUCGUUCUCUCCUGAGUGGAUCCUGAGUACGGCGGAACACGUGAAAUUCCGUCGGAAUCCGGGAGGACCAUCUCCCAAGGCUAAAUACUCCCUAGUGACCGAUAGUGAACCAGUACCGUGAGGGAAAGGUGAAAAGCACCCCGGAAGGGGAGUGAAAGAGAUCCUGAAACCGUGUGCCUACAAGUAGUCAGAGCCCGUUAACGGGUGAUGGCGUGCCUUUUGUAGAAUGAACCGGCGAGUUACGAUCCCGUGCAAGGUUAAGCAGAAGAUGCGGAGCCGCAGCGAAAGCGAGUCUGAAUAGGGCGAAUUGAGUACGUGGUCGUAGACCCGAAACCAGGUGAUCUACCCAUGUCCAGGGUGAAGUUCAGGUAACACUGAAUGGAGGCCCGAACCCACGCACGUUGAAAAGUGCGGGGAUGAGGUGUGGGUAGGGGUGAAAUGCCAAUCGAACCUGGAGAUAGCUGGUUCUCUCCGAAAUAGCUUUAGGGCUAGCCUCAAGGUAAGAGUCUCGGAGGUAGAGCACUGAUUGGACUAGGGGCCCCUACCGGGUUACCGAAUUCAGUCAAACUCCGAAUGCCGAUGACUUAUCCUUGGGAGUCAGACUGCGAGUGAUAAGAUCCGUAGUCGAAAGGGAAACAGCCCAGACCGCCAGCUAAGGUCCCAAAGUAUACGUUAAGUGGAAAAGGAUGUGGAGUUGCUUAGACAACCAGGAUGUUGGCUUAGAAGCAGCCACCAUUUAAAGAGUGCGUAAUAGCUCACUGGUCGAGUGACUCUGCGCCGAAAAUGUACCGGGGCUAAACGUAUCACCGAAGCUGCGGACUGUUCUUCGAACAGUGGUAGGAGAGCGUUCUAAGGGCUGUGAAGCAAGACCGGAAGGACUUGUGGAGCGCUUAGAAGUGAGAAUGCCGGUAUGAGUAGCGAAAGAGGGGUGAGAAUCCCCUCCACCGAAUGCCUAAGGUUUCCUGAGGAAGGCUCGUCCGCUCAGGGUUAGUCGGGACCUAAGCCGAGGCCGAAAGGCGUAGGCGAUGGAUAACAGGUUGAUAUUCCUGUACCACCUCCUCACCAUUUGAGCAAUGGGGGGACGCAGGAGGAUAGGGUAAGCGCGGUAUUGGAUAUCCGCGUCCAAGCAGUUAGGCUGGGAAAUAGGCAAAUCCGUUUCCCGUGAAGGCUGAGCUGUGAUGGCGAGCGAAUUAUAGUAGCGAAGUUCCUGAUUCCACACUGCCAAGAAAAGCCUCUAGCGAGGUGAGAGGUGCCCGUACCGCAAACCGACACAGGUAGGCGAGGAGAGAAUCCUAAGGUGAUCGAGAGAACUCUCGUUAAGGAACUCGGCAAAAUGACCCCGUAACUUCGGGAGAAGGGGUGCUCUGUUAGGGUGCAAGCCCGAGAGAGCCGCAGUGAAUAGGCCCAGGCGACUGUUUAGCAAAAACACAGGUCUCUGCGAAGCCGUAAGGCGAAGUAUAGGGGCUGACGCCUGCCCGGUGCUGGAAGGUUAAGAGGAGCGCUUAGCGUAAGCGAAGGUGCGAAUUGAAGCCCCAGUAAACGGCGGCCGUAACUAUAACGGUCCUAAGGUAGCGAAAUUCCUUGUCGGGUAAGUUCCGACCCGCACGAAAGGCGCAACGAUCUGGGCACUGUCUCAACGAGAGACUCGGUGAAAUUAUAGUACCUGUGAAGAUGCAGGUUACCCGCGACAGGACGGAAAGACCCCGUGGAGCUUUACUGCAGCCUGAUAUUGAAUGUUGGUACAGCUUGUACAGGAUAGGUAGGAGCCUUGGAAAUCGGAGCGCCAGCUUCGGUGGAGGCAUCGGUGGGAUACUACCCUGGCUGUAUUGACCUUCUAACCCGCCGCCCUUAUCGGGCGGGGAGACAGUGUCAGGUGGGCAGUUUGACUGGGGCGGUCGCCUCCUAAAAGGUAACGGAGGCGCCCAAAGGUUCCCUCAGAAUGGUUGGAAAUCAUUCGCAGAGUGUAAAGGCACAAGGGAGCUUGACUGCGAGACCUACAAGUCGAGCAGGGACGAAAGUCGGGCUUAGUGAUCCGGUGGUUCCGCAUGGAAGGGCCAUCGCUCAACGGAUAAAAGCUACCCCGGGGAUAACAGGCUUAUCUCCCCAAGAGUCCACAUCGACGGGGAGGUUUGGCACCUCGAUGUCGGCUCAUCGCAUCCUGGGGCUGUAGUCGGUCCCAAGGGUUGGGCUGUUCGCCCAUUAAAGCGGUACGCGAGCUGGGUUCAGAACGUCGUGAGACAGUUCGGUCCCUAUCCGUCGCGGGCGCAGGAAAUUUGAGAGGAGCUGUCCUUAGUACGAGAGGACCGGGAUGGACGCACCGCUGGUGUACCAGUUGUUCUGCCAAGGGCAUCGCUGGGUAGCUAUGUGCGGACGGGAUAAGUGCUGAAAGCAUCUAAGCAUGAAGCCCCCCUCAAGAUGAGAUUUCCCAUUCCGCAAGGAAGUAAGAUCCCUGAAAGAUGAUCAGGUUGAUAGGUCUGAGGUGGAAGUGUGGCGACACAUGGAGCUGACAGAUACUAAUCGAUCGAGGACUUAACCAA
Molecule: ribosomal RNA, 2927 nt
Filed under: Bacillus velezensis
Lineage: Bacteria; Bacillati; Bacillota; Bacilli; Caryophanales; Bacillaceae
Description: 23S ribosomal RNA
Rfam family: Bacterial large subunit ribosomal RNA
Source: RNAcentral